This 553-nucleotide small RNA is filed under the name Pongo abelii (Sumatran orangutan). RNAcentral's name for it is "processed transcript". Lineage: Eukaryota; Metazoa; Chordata; Mammalia; Primates; Hominidae. The record is from RNAcentral.
ACUGCGCCCAGCAUGAGGGUCGCGGCUCUGAUCAGUGGUGGGAAGGACAGCUGCUAUAAUAUGAUGCAGUGCAUUGCUGCUGGGCAUCAGAUCGUUGCUUUAGCAAAUCUAAGACCAGCUGAAAACCAAGUGGGGUCUGAUGAACUGGAUAGCUACAUGUAUCAGACAGUGGGGCACCAUGCCAUUGACUUGUAUGCAGAAGCAAUGGCUCUUCCCCUCUAUCGCCGAACCAUAAGAGGAAGGAGCUUGGAUACAAGACAAGUGUACACCAAAUGUGAAGGUGAUGAGGUUGAAGAUCUCUAUGAGCUUUUGAAACUUGUUAAGGAAGAGUAAGAAAGAGCCACAGGAAUCUCAGACUUUACUGUGUAAGUGAAGUACAAAUUAAACCAAUGAUUGAAGUGCAGUUGAAAAAGAUCUAGUGAGCCUGGAAGAGAUUUAGGCCAAGUAAGAAGAUAAUUGCUCAAAUAGUCUUGUAGCCUUGGGGUGUUUUCUUUACAUUUGGGUGCCUCUUCUACAUAAAGGGUUUUCUUCUGGGCUUAUGCAUAUUAAAUAG